This 706-nucleotide ribosomal RNA is filed under the name Bacillus cereus. Its description in RNAcentral is "bacterial SSU rRNA". It matches the Rfam family "Bacterial small subunit ribosomal RNA", at positions 57 to 744 of the family's 1533-position model. The record is from RNAcentral. Lineage: Bacteria; Bacillati; Bacillota; Bacilli; Caryophanales; Bacillaceae.
GCAGUCGAGCGAAUGGAUUAAGAGCUUGCUCUUAUGAAGUUAGCGGCGGACGGGUGAGUAACACGUGGGUAACCUGCCCAUAAGACUGGGAUAACUCCGGGAAACCGGGGCUAAUACCGGAUAACAUUUUGAACCGCAUGGUUCGAAAUUGAAAGGCGGCUUCGGCUGUCACUUAUGGAUGGACCCGCGUCGCAUUAGCUAGUUGGUGAGGUAACGGCUCACCAAGGCAACGAUGCGUAGCCGACCUGAGAGGGUGAACAACCAUACUGGGACUGAGACACGAACAAAAUACAUACGGGAGGCAGCAGUAGUCAAUCUUCCGCAAUGGACGAAAGUCUGACGGAGCAACGCCGCGUGAGUGAUGAAGGCUUCCGGGUCGUAAAACUCUGUUGUUAGGGAAGAACAAGUGCUAGUUGAAUAAGCUGGCACCUUGACGGUACCUAACCAGAAAGCCACGGCUAACUACGUGCCAGCAGCCGCGGUAAUACGUAGGUGGCAAGCGUUAUCCGGAAUUAUUGGGCGUAAAGCGCGCGCAGGUGGUUUCUUAAGUCUGAUGUGAAAGCCCACGGCUCAACCGUGGAGGGUCAUUGGAAACUGGGAGACUUGAGUGCAGAAGAGGAAAGUGCAAUUCCAUGUGUAGCGGUGAAAUGCGUAGAGAUAUGCAGGAACACCAGUGGCGAAUGCGACUUUCUGGUCUGUAACUGAC